Anolis carolinensis (green anole) is the source of this 205-nucleotide small nucleolar RNA. Its record names the gene SNORA74. It matches the Rfam family "Small nucleolar RNA SNORA74". Rfam says of the family: U19 belongs to the H/ACA class of snoRNAs. snoRNAs bind a number of proteins (including dyskerin, Gar1p and Nop10p in the case of the H/ACA class) to form snoRNP complexes. This class are thought to guide the sites of modification of uridines to pseudouridines by forming direct base pairing interactions with substrate RNAs. The record is from Ensembl. NCBI's taxonomy places the organism in Eukaryota, Metazoa, Chordata, Lepidosauria, Squamata, Anolidae.
UCCAGCAGUAGUCAGCUGUUUGUGACUAUUCCAUGUCUGUGACAGUGUUACACUGCUGGAAGAUAAAAUGUACUGGCUAUUUCAACUGUCUGUCAUUGUCUCUGUUCUGGAGGCAGCUGACACCAGUGUGGUGCAGUACUGUGCUUCUCUGAGUGUGUGCUGGGCAGAUAAACUCCUUCCCAGUACUCGUCUGGGAGCAUACACA